GCUGUGGCUCAGUGCUAGAGCAUCUGCUUUGCAUGCAGAAGGUCCCGGUUUUAAUCUCUGACAUCUCCA
This is a non-coding RNA of Podarcis lilfordi (Lilford's wall lizard), 69 nucleotides long. The record is from the annotation of a GenBank genome assembly. Lineage: Eukaryota; Metazoa; Chordata; Lepidosauria; Squamata; Lacertidae.